RNAcentral lists this non-coding RNA (30 nucleotides) under Rattus norvegicus (Norway rat). The record is from RNAcentral. Lineage: Eukaryota; Metazoa; Chordata; Mammalia; Rodentia; Muridae.
UGUGUUAUUCUGCAAAGAUAUCUUUCUCGC